GUACCGCCGAAGAGUCCCAAACUAGGACGAAACAGCUGUCCAGUAC
Trichobilharzia regenti is the source of this 46-nucleotide non-coding RNA. The record is from Rfam. NCBI's taxonomy places the organism in Eukaryota, Metazoa, Platyhelminthes, Trematoda, Strigeidida, Schistosomatidae.